GGAAUAUGAUGUGGGAUGGAUUUAAGGAUGCAUAUACUGAAAAGAAAAAUACGGUGGUGGAUCUUUAAUGUUAUGGGGCUACUUUGCUCACACUGGUCCUGGGGCCCUUGUUAAGGAAAGCAGCAUCGUGAACUCUACCCAAGUACCAGGACAAUUUAGCCCUAAACCUGACUACCUCUGCCAGCAGACUGAAACUAGUGGAUCUUUCAGCAAGACAAUGACCCCAAAUUCACGUUAAAAUCCACAAAUAAAAAGGUUAAUGAUGCAGAAGCAUCAUUGUGCAAUGGCUACAACAGUCUAAAGACUGCUGAAACUCCCUGAAAACCUGUGACUCAAUUGAACAGCACAGCCCAUAAGCACGGAUCAACAAAGACAUCAGGAUCUGGAAAGAUUGUCUGCCAAUUUGGGUCAGAACCCACUUGUGAAUCUGAUCUGGUGUGUUCAGGUGUCCUGAGACAGGGGGCGCUGUUUCUAAAAUGAGUUCCUCAGAGGAGACCGAGACUGACGAUGGAACCCACGGCCCUGCGAGAAAGAGGGUCCGGGUAGAGAGGGCAGGGUCACCUGUACCCAGCUGUCUGUCUAUGAAGAGUGAUCAUU
Long non-coding RNA from Anguilla anguilla (European eel), 597 nucleotides. RefSeq lists it as uncharacterized. The transcript has 3 exons. Lineage: Eukaryota; Metazoa; Chordata; Actinopteri; Anguilliformes; Anguillidae. The record is from RefSeq and is a predicted model, not a curated record.